AAGGAUCAUUACCGAGUGAGGGCCCUCUGGGUCCAACCUCCCACCCGUGUUUAUUUUACCUUGUUGCUUCGGCGGGCCCGCCUUAACUGGCCGCCGGGGGGCUCACGCCCCCGGGCCCGCGCCCGCCGAAGACACCCUCGAACUCUGUCUGAAGAUUGAAGUCUGAGUGAAAAUAUAAAUUAUUUAAAACUUUCAACAACGGAUCUCUUGGUUCCGGCAUCGAUGAAGAACGCAGCGAAAUGCGAUACGUAAUGUGAAUUGCAAAUUCAGUGAAUCAUCGAGUCUUUGAACGCACAUUGCGCCCCCUGGUAUUCCGGGGGGCAUGCCUGUCCGAGCGUCAUUGCUGCCCUCAAGCCCGGCUUGUGUGUUGGGCCCCGUCCUCCGAUCUCCGGGGGACGGGCCCGAAAGGCAGCGGCGGCACCGCGUCCGGUCCUCGAGCGUAUGGGGCUUUGUCACCCGCUCUGUAGGCCCGGCCGGCGCUUGCCGAUCAACCCAAAUUUUUAUAUCCAGGUUGACCUCGGAUCAGGUAGGGAUACCCGCUGAACUUAA
Molecule: ribosomal RNA, 549 nt
Filed under: Penicillium sp. F09-T10-1
Lineage: Eukaryota; Fungi; Ascomycota; Eurotiomycetes; Eurotiales; Aspergillaceae
Description: eukaryotic LSU rRNA
Rfam family: 5.8S ribosomal RNA (bases 188-340)
Source: RNAcentral